This 207-nucleotide long non-coding RNA is filed under the name Mytilus galloprovincialis (Mediterranean mussel). The record is from RNAcentral. Lineage: Eukaryota; Metazoa; Mollusca; Bivalvia; Mytilida; Mytilidae.
CAAUUUCGUACAAGCAAUUUUGGGGUUUUUGGACCCUUUGAAACCCACUGGAAGCAAUUUCUGUAGCUAAAUUUCAUAUUGAAUUUGCUGGAACUUGUUACACACACCAAAAACUAAAUUGUGUAUCUAAAAAUUGGAUAAAAAUAUUUACACUUUUUUAGAAAUAUUGAUCGUACAAGAAAAUCCACAUUUUUUGAAAAAGGCCCA